AGUAUAUGAUGAUACCUUGGUAAUGCUGCACAUUGCUGCCUGAGCACUGGGGAAGCCAAACGUGGAGAGCUUAGUGUGCA
Octodon degus (degu) is the source of this 80-nucleotide small nucleolar RNA. Lineage: Eukaryota; Metazoa; Chordata; Mammalia; Rodentia; Octodontidae. The record is from Ensembl.